CUCAGCGAAGCAAUUCUAUGUUAAUGCUGUAUGUGUAAUGUCAGCCAGUAGUAGGAUGGGCAAAAUUUCUACAGGAUUGUUGAUCUGUGAUUCCUGUGCAUAAGAUUUAUGGUUUCCCGAUCUGCAGGUUCCCAUAUAUUUUGNNNNNNNNGGCACAAACUCCUGUCCAGUAUUAUGCCUCUGAUGGGUUUUGAGCGCUGUAUAUGUAUUGAUAUAUUUUUUUUUUUUUAUAAUUUUCAUUUCAAAAGUGGCCAGAUUGAUUUAUUGUUUAAGCUCAACCAGGCAACUGUGAUUGCAAUUUUUAUUUUACAA
RNAcentral lists this unclassified non-coding RNA (312 nucleotides) under Hevea brasiliensis (rubber tree). The record is from RNAcentral. Lineage: Eukaryota; Viridiplantae; Streptophyta; Magnoliopsida; Malpighiales; Euphorbiaceae.